AAACUUUCAACAACGGAUCUCUUGGUUCUGGCAUCGAUGAAGAACGCAGCGAAAUGCGAUAAGUAAUGUGAAUUGCAGAAUCCAGUGAAUCAUCGAAUCUUUGAACGCACAUUGCGCCCGCCAGUAUUCUGGCGGGCAUGCCUGUUCGAGCGUCAUU
Molecule: ribosomal RNA, 157 nt
Filed under: Aschersonia confluens
Lineage: Eukaryota; Fungi; Ascomycota; Sordariomycetes; Hypocreales; Clavicipitaceae
Description: 5.8S ribosomal RNA
Rfam family: 5.8S ribosomal RNA
About the family: 5.8S ribosomal RNA (5.8S rRNA) is a component of the large subunit of the eukaryotic ribosome. It is transcribed by RNA polymerase I as part of the 45S precursor that also contains 18S and 28S rRNA.
Source: RNAcentral